This 1719-nucleotide ribosomal RNA is filed under the name Francisella tularensis. RNAcentral's name for it is "partial 23S ribosomal RNA". It matches the Rfam family "Bacterial large subunit ribosomal RNA", at positions 711 to 2423 of the family's 2925-position model. The record is from RNAcentral. Lineage: Bacteria; Pseudomonadati; Pseudomonadota; Gammaproteobacteria; Thiotrichales; Francisellaceae.
AGACCCGAAACCGGCGCGAUCUAUCCAUGGCCAGGUUGAAGAUUAGGUAGUACUAAUUGGAGGACCGAACCCAAUACUGUUGCAAAAGUAUGGGAUGAGCUGUGGAUCGGAGUGAAAGGCUAAUCAAGCACGGAGAUAGCUGGUUCUCCCCGAAAACUAUUUAGGUAGUGCCUCGUGUAUAACUCAUUGGGGUAAAGCACUGUUUCGACAAUGGGGGUUUUACGACCUUACUGACUCGAUGCAAACUCAGAAUACGAUGAAGUUCGAUCACGGGAGACACACUGCGGGUGCUAAGGUCCGCAGUGGAAAGGGAAACAGCCCAGACCGCCAACUAAGGUCCCAAAGUCAUAGCUAAGUGGGAAACGAAGUGGGAAGGCCCAGACAGCCAGGAGGUUGGCUUAGAAGCAGCCACCCUUUAAAGAAAGCGUAAUAGCUCACUGGUCGAGUCGGCCUGCACGUAAGAUUUAACGGGGCUAAGCUAUGCACUGAAGUUGCGGAAUAUAUUUAGUAUAUUGGUAGGGGAGCGUUCUGUAAGCCGAUGAAGGUGAAUUGAGAAGUUUGCUGGAGGUAUCAGAAGUGCGAAUGCUGACAUGAGUAACGUAAAAUAAGUGAGAUUCUUAUUGGCCGAAAACCCAAGGGUUCCUACGCAAUGUUAAUCAACGUAGGGUAAGCCGGCCCCUAAGGCGUAGCUGAAGAGUGAAGUCGAUGGGAAACAGGUUAAUAUUCCUGUGCUGCUUAUAUGAACGAAGGAGGGACGGAGAAGGUUAGGUAGGCCUGGCGAAUGGUUGUCCAGGUGAAAGUAUGUAGGUAGGAAUGCUAGGCAAAUCCGGUGUUCUGUUGAUCUGAGAUACGAGACGAAGUUAAACUUGUUUGACGAAGCUAUUGAUACCAUGCUUCCAGGAAAAGCUUCUAAGUAUAUUGUAUAAGUGACCGUACUGUAAACCGACACUGGUGGGUAGGUAGAGAAUACUAAGGCUAUGAGAUAACUCUGGUGAAGGAACUAGGCAAAAUGACACCGUAACUUUGGAAGAAGGUGUGCCCUUGAUGGUGAUGAGACUUGCUCUUUGAGCUGUUGGGGGUUGCAGAUACCAGGUGGCUGCGACUGUUUAUCAAAAACACAGCACUCUGCGAAAUCGUAAGAUGAAGUAUAGGGUGUGACGCCUGCCCGGUGCUGGAAGGUUAAUUGAAGGGGUUAGCGCAAGCGAAGCUCUGGAUCGAAGCCCCAGUAAACGGCGGCCGUAACUAUAACGGUCCUAAGGUAGCGAAAUUCCUUGUCGGGUAAGUUCCGACCUGCACGAAUGGCGUAACGAUGGCCACACUGUCUCCACCAGAGACUCAGUGAAAUUGAAAUCGCUGUGAAGAUGCAGUGUACCCGCGGUUAGACGGAAAGACCCCGUGAACCUUUACUAUAGCUUUGCACUGGACUUUGAAUAUUUAUGUGUAGGAUAGGUGGGAGACCAUGAAGCAGCUACGCCAGUAGUUGUGGAGUCGUCCUUGAAAUACCACCCUUGAAUAUUUGAAGUUCUAACUCAGGAGAGAUUCGAGGACAGUGUAUGGUGGGUAGUUUGACUGGGGCGGUCUCCUCCUAAAGAGUAACGGAGGAGUACGAAGGUGCACUCGGUACGGUCGGAAAUCGUGCCAAGAGUAUAAAGGCAAAAGUGCGCUUGACUGCGAGAGUGACGGCUCGAGCAGGUACGAAAGUAGGUCUUAGUGAUCCGG